AGAGCGAACGCUGGCGGCAGGCCUAACACAUGCAAGUCGAGCGCCCCGCAAGGGGAGCGGCAGACGGGUGAGUAACACGUGGGAACGUACCCUUCGGUUCGGAAUAGCCCGGGGAAACUCGGAGUAAUACCGGAUACGUCCGUAAGGAGAAAGAUUUAUCGCCGAAGGAUCGGCCCGCGUCUGAUUAGCUUGUUGGUGAGGUAACGGCUCACCAAGGCUACGAUCAGUAGCUGGUCUGAGAGGAUGAUCAGCCACACUGGGACUGAGACACGGCCCAGACUCCUACGGGAGGCAGCAGUGGGGAAUAUUGGACAAUGGGCGCAAGCCUGAUCCAGCCAUGCCGCGUGAGUGAUGAAGGCCCUAGGGUUGUAAAGCUCUUUCGGCGGGGAAGAUAAUGACGGUACCCGCAGAAGAAGCCCCGGCAACUUCGUGCCAGCAGCCGC
RNAcentral lists this ribosomal RNA (443 nucleotides) under uncultured bacterium. Its description in RNAcentral is "SSU rRNA". It matches the Rfam family "Bacterial small subunit ribosomal RNA", at positions 26 to 518 of the family's 1533-position model. The record is from RNAcentral.